RNAcentral lists this ribosomal RNA (496 nucleotides) under uncultured bacterium. RNAcentral's name for it is "partial 16S ribosomal RNA". It matches the Rfam family "Bacterial small subunit ribosomal RNA", at positions 28 to 506 of the family's 1533-position model. The record is from RNAcentral.
GAUGAACGCUGGCGGCGUGCCUAAUACAUGCAAGUCGAGCGAACAGAUAAGGAGCUUGCUCCUUUGACGUUAGCGGCGGACGGGUGAGUAACACGUGGGUAACCUACCUAUAAGACUGGGAUAACUUCGGGAAACCGGAGCUAAUACCGGAUAACAUUUGGAACCGCAUGGUUCUAAAGUGAAAGAUGGUUUUGCUAUCACUUAUAGAUGGACCCGCGCCGUAUUAGCUAGUUGGUAAGGUAACGGCUUACCAAGGCGACGAUACGUAGCCGACCUGAGAGGGUGAUCGGCCACACUGGAACUGAGACACGGUCCAGACUCCUACGGGAGGCAGCAGUAGGGAAUCUUCCGCAAUGGGCGAAAGCCUGACGGAGCAACGCCGCGUGAGUGAUGAAGGGUUUCGGCUCGUAAAACUCUGUUAUUAGGGAAGAACAAAUGUGUAAGUAACGGUGCACGUCUUGACGGUACCUAAACAGAAAGCCACGGCUAACUACGU